This is a non-coding RNA of Macaca mulatta (Rhesus monkey), 776 nucleotides long. NCBI's taxonomy places the organism in Eukaryota, Metazoa, Chordata, Mammalia, Primates, Cercopithecidae. The record is from the annotation of a RefSeq genome assembly.
GUUGGUGAUAUACCAGGGGUUGUGAAAAGAACCUUUUUUCUAAUUGGUAGGACAGAUUCUUUUAUGAUUCCUAAAGUGGAAGAAAUAAAAUAUCUGUGCUACGUUAUUUUUUUUGGAUUGAAAAUUUUAAUCCUCAGUGAACCAGGGCAGAAAAGAAUGAUGAAAUCCUUGAGAGUUUUACUGGUGAUCCUGUGGCUUCAGUUAAGCUGGGUUUGGAGCCAACAGAAGGAGGUGGAGCAGGAUCCUGGACCCUUCAGUGUUCCAGAGGGAGCCACCGUCACUUUCAACUGCACUUACAGCAACAGUGCUUCCCAGUCUUUCUUCUGGUACAGACAGGAUUCCAGGAAAGAACCUAAGUUGCUGAUGUCUGUAUACUCCAGUGGUAACGAAGAUGGAAGGUUUACAGCACAGCUCAAUAGAGCCAGCCAGUAUAUUUCCCUGCUCAUCAGAGACUCCCAGCUCAGUGAUUCAGCCACCUACCUCUGUGCAGUGCGUACACAGUGCUCCCCAGACACCUGCAGUCUGUACCCAAACCUGCUGUGCCCCAGGAAUGCCUGAUGUAGAGCUUAGACUGCAGGGCAGUCAACUUGUCUUUGCUUUCCAGAUUCAAGUGGAAAUUAAGAGUACUAGUAUGGAGGACUGAUUGAUCAGGGAAGUAUUAUUAUAAUUCUGAAAAUAAUUAAGACCCUGAAGGAAAAUGAAAGGUACAAUCUUGGUCUGGUUAAAAUGUUUUCUAGUAUUCUCUUUCUACUUUAGUUUUAAAAUAUUUUUUAUGU